This 800-nucleotide ribosomal RNA is filed under the name uncultured bacterium. RNAcentral describes it as "bacterial SSU rRNA". It matches the Rfam family "Bacterial small subunit ribosomal RNA", at positions 9 to 850 of the family's 1533-position model. The record is from RNAcentral.
GAGUUUGAUCCUGGCUCAGAGCGAACGCUAGCGGCAGGCUUAACACAUGCAAGUCGAGCGCCCUUCGGGGAGCGGCGGACGGGUGAGUAACACGUAGGUAACGUACCUUCUGGAGGGGGAUAACCUCGGGAAACUGAGGCUAAUACCGCAUAUGCCCACUGGGUGAAAGCGUUAGCGCCAGAAGACCGGCCUGCGGCCCAUUAUUUAAUCCUAGUUGGUGAGGUAACGGCUCACCAAGGGUACGAUGGGUAGCUGAUCUGAGAGGAUGAUCAGCCACACUGGGACUGAGACACGGCCCAGACUCCUACGGGAGGCAGCAGUGGGGAAUAUUGGACAAUGGGCGAAAGCCUGAUCCAGCCAUGCCGCGUGUGUGAUGAAGGCCUUCGGGUUGUAAAGCACUGUCGGGGGGGAAGAAGAUCUGACGGUACCCCCCAAGAAAGCACCGGCUAACUCCGUGCCAGCAGCCGCGGUAAUACGGAGGGUGCAAGCGUUGCUCGGAAUUACUGGGCGUAAAGCGUACGCAGGCGGCGCAUCAAGUCGGAUGUGAAAGCCCUGGGCUCAACCCAGGAACUGCAUUCGAAACUGGUGCACUUGAGUCCGAGAGAGGGUGGUGGAAUUCCUGGUGUAGAGGUGAAAUUCGUUGAGAUCAGGAGGAACAUCAGCGGCGAAGGCGGCCACCUGGCUCGGUACUGACGCUCAUGUACGAAAGCGUGGGUAGCAAACAGGAUUAGAUACCCUGGUAGUCCACGCCGUAAACGAUGGAUGCUAGGUGUCGGAGGAUUCACCCCUUCGGUGCCGAA